RNAcentral lists this ribosomal RNA (890 nucleotides) under uncultured bacterium. RNAcentral describes it as "bacterial SSU rRNA". It matches the Rfam family "Bacterial small subunit ribosomal RNA", at positions 100 to 987 of the family's 1533-position model. The record is from RNAcentral.
GAACGGGUGAGUAAUGCAUCGGAACGUACCCAGUAGUGGGGGAUAACUUACCGAAAGGUAAGCUAAUACCGCAUACGCACUGAGGUGGAAAGCAGGGGACCGCAAGGCCUUGCGCUAUUGGAGCGGCCGAUGUCGGAUUAGCUAGUUGGUGGGGUAAAGGCCUACCAAGGCGACGAUCCGUAGCGGGUCUGAGAGGAUGAUCCGCCACACUGGAACUGAGACACGGUCCAGACUCCUACGGGAGGCAGCAGUGGGGAAUUUUGGACAAUGGGCGCAAGCCUGAUCCAGCCAUGCCGCGUGAGUGAAGAAGGCCUUCGGGUUGUAAAGCUCUUUCGGCCGGGAAGGAAUCGUGGUGGCGAAUACCUGCCAUGGACGACGGUACCGGACUAAGAAGCACCGGCUAACUACGUGCCAGCAGCCGCGGUAAUACGUAGGGUGCGAGCGUUAAUCGGAAUUACUGGGCGUAAAGCGUGCGCAGGCGGUUGUGUAAGACAGGCGUGAAAUCCCCGGGCUCGACCUGGGAACUGCGCUUGUGACUGCACGGCUAGAGUACGGCAGAGGGGGGUGGAAUUCCACGUGUAGCAGUGAAAUGCGUAGAGAUGUGGAGGAACACCGAUGGCGAAGGCAGCCCCCUGGGUCGAUACUGACGCUCAUGCACGAAAGCGUGGGGAGCAAACAGGAUUAGAUACCCUGGUAGUCCACGCCCUAAACGAUGUCGACUAGUUGUUGGAGGGGUAAAACCCUUUAGUAACGUAGCUAACGCGUGAAGUCGACCGCCUGGGGAGUACGGCCGCAAGGUUAAAACUCAAAGGAAUUGACGGGGACCCGCACAAGCGGUGGAUGAUGUGGAUUAAUUCGAUGCACGCGAAAACCCUUCCUACCCUUGCCAU